AAGAAAAGUUCAGCACCAUCAGAGAGAAACAAGACAGAGAGAAUUCAUAGAAUGGCUUUAGGGCCUUUCCUCCAGGCGGAGGGAGGACGGCAGCUGUGGGUAAAGCCCGAAGGAGGAAUGCCUGAAGGUAAGGGGAAGCCCGGGGCAGACCCGCUGCCCGCUCCGGACCCCACUCUCCACCUUCCGGUAACCGCGUCUCUUACCGGUAAUGGUGGUGAACUGUUGAAUUAACCCCUUCAGCGCCGAGGACGCCGCGGAGCCCCCGUGGGCAGCCAUCUUACCGCCGCCGCCGCCGCCGAACAACAACACAGACACACACGGACUGCCCUCCCCCACUUCGCCGUGCGGUGUGCGCAGGCGCAUUGACCGCCCCUCGAGCCCCGCCCCUCCCGUCCCCAGCGGUCUGC
Molecule: long non-coding RNA, 407 nt
Filed under: Homo sapiens (human)
Lineage: Eukaryota; Metazoa; Chordata; Mammalia; Primates; Hominidae
Description: HSALNT0317586
Source: RNAcentral